RNAcentral lists this ribosomal RNA (474 nucleotides) under uncultured bacterium. Its description in RNAcentral is "bacterial SSU rRNA". It matches the Rfam family "Bacterial small subunit ribosomal RNA", at positions 33 to 507 of the family's 1533-position model. The record is from RNAcentral.
GACGACGCUGGCGGCGUGCCUAACACAUGCAAGUCGAGCGGGGUUGAGGCGAGAGGUAACUCGAACUUCUACCUAGCGGCGGACGGGUGAGUAACGCGUGGGCAACCUGCCUCAAGGUUUGGGAUAACAGCCCGAAAGGGCUGCUAAUACCGGAUAUGCCUAUGGCCUCGCAUGGGGCUAUGAGCAAAGGGGAAACCCGCCUUGAGAUGGGCCCGCGUCCCAUCAGCUAGUUGGUGAGGUAACAGCUCACCAAGGCGACGACGGGUAGCCGGCCUGAGAGGGUGACCGGCCACACUGGGACUGAGACACGGCCCAGACUCCUACGGGGGGCAGCAGUGGGGGAUCUUGCACAAUGGGCGAAAGCCUGAUGCAGCGACGCCGCGUGAGCGAAGAAGGCCUUCGGGUUGUAAAGCUCUGUCUGGAGGGACGAACAAAAUGACGGUACCUCCGGAGGAAGCCACGGCUAACUACGUG